This is a long non-coding RNA of Meleagris gallopavo (turkey), 2262 nucleotides long. Lineage: Eukaryota; Metazoa; Chordata; Aves; Galliformes; Phasianidae. The record is from Ensembl.
AAGUUAUUCUAUUUCUCCAUCUGCUCUUACUUACAGCACUUUUAUAUAAAAUACAAUCCAUUAAAACUUUUUUUUUUUUUUAAGAUGGAAACUAACUAAAGGACUUUCAAGAAGCAAAAGAUAAAAAUGUGAUUUAAAUUCAUCUAGUUCAGAGGACAAGUGCAGAUAAAAGCACAGUAAGUAGGAGAUUAAUAGCCUUGGUGCAGGAAGCAGAUCAGCCUGGUCUGCUGCCCUGGCAGCUCUUCUCCGAGGUCUUUGCAAUGGGUAACUUGAGUUCAGAUACUGUUUGUUAGAAUAUUUCAGGUGAGGAGAGUUACUGCAAAGAGUCGAAAGCUAAGAUUUCAAAGAAUCAGGGCCUCUGAUCAGAAAAAUCUUAGACUCGUGGAUAAAUAUCCAUUAACAAAAAUGAACUGUUACACUUGUACUCCUAAUUUAGCAUAGCAUUUGCUUGUUUUUCUAGUUCGAGGAAUGUGUUUAAAUGCUGCAGUAGGGAAAAGAUAUAAUCUGGUGAUAGCACUUUUCUUGCUUUCCUGUGUGGCAUGAGGAUACAACUCCAUAGACUUUCUGAGAAUUUCAACUCAGAAAAUCUAUUUUGUGGGGACCUGAAAUACUGUUCAACUUUGCUCUCUACUCCUAACAGUUUGUUUUGUGGCUCAGUAAUCCUUCUCCACUCUCAGAACUAUGGAGGAGCGAGGUGGAGCCUUGUACUUCUGAGAAAGGAUAUAAAGCUGCUGGCAUUUGCCCACCAUAAGGAACAAGGACCUGCUCACAGAAAAAAAAAAAAAAGAAGAAAAAAAAAAAAUCAAAAUGAAGAAUCUCAGAGGAGCCCCCCCGAGAGCUGAAAACUGACUUUCCCUGAUGUGGAAAAAAACAAAAAGUAGUUUACACCAUUUCAACAGAUCCCGAUUGCUCCAAGGUAAGCCUUGUUUAUUGAUAAUGUAAGUAGCUUAGUGUGUCUGCCACUGUGAAAUUCAAAGAGAAAGGGAAGUUUUAAAAGUAACAUGCCUGCCUAGAAAGUGUACUGUGACAUGUAGGGAGCUUGACUUCAGUCUGAUACAUUUUCAUGCUUUCCCUGCAAAUCGAAGCGCGUGGUCAUUAACGCAGUAAAUCACAGUAAUGUGUUAUGAUCUGAUCUGGCAUUUAUAAGGAAAUAGGGUGUCUAGCCCUGGCUGCCUCUCCUACAGGUCAUUUGUCCUAGUGGUAAAGAGAGUGGUUGUUCCCAAGGGAAGAGAAAGCUGCCCAUUAUGUCAGCUCACACCCUGGAAAAGGCUACUGAUUUCAGUGCAUCUGUUUGUGAUGUGCCCUCUAAACGGGGUCAGUGUUAUAACGGGUAGGAGAGAGCAGUUUCAGCCAUGAGUGAGCACUCAGAUAAAUGGUGUAACUAACUCUGUCAGAGAUGAAUAUAAAACGUACACAAGAUGGCUUCUUUUGUAUUUGCUUUUAAAAAAAGGAAACAGACGUAUAUAAUGAUAUUUUUUUUCAGUCAUUGAUUUAUAUGCCACACAGAUGAGAAGCAAUAUUCCUAUGAUGCCUUUAUCAGUAUUCUGAGAAGGACUGCUUUCAGGUUAAAGACUGAUAAGCAAUGCCAACUAUUGACAUUAUUGGAACAGCCCUAUCAGCUUUAAUUUUCUUUUGUUUUCCUGUUGCCAAGGAAAGGCGUUAGAGAGGAAAUUAUGAUCUCAAAUUGGUUAAUCGAGUGACGUGCACUUUUUUCCAUAAAUUGCCAUGCCUGAUCUUUAAAGCAGUAUACAAUCUCAUUGCCAAGCAAGCAAUGUACAGAAUGUAGCAGAAUUUACAAAUAUCAUGUGUCAUCAGUCUUUAGGCCAGUAAUUCUCAAACCAAGGUGAGCUGUCCACAGUGUCACAUUACGGAGUUAAAUGCACAAACUCGUUUGUCUUGUUUGCCUGUACUUUUGUAUGCACAGUUUUCUGAGCAUGCUAGAGACCGCUAGAGUGUGCUCAAUUAUAAGCCUGGUAGGAAGCUACACACACACAGUGGAGCACGGGGAGUGCUCAGGGUUGCUGGAAGUUUAUUCUUUCCAGUAAAUUAGGGAGCUUGUGCUCUUGUCAUCGUAGAUCAAAGUUAAUUGACCUCAUACCAUUAGCAUCAGCAUAGUUAAGGCAUGGAGUUUACGCAAAGAGCUGGAGAAUUUAAAACCGUAAAGUUUCAUUUUUACUAGUCUGUCUGUGCACAUAAAUUUUGGCUUUGCAUGAGUAGUGUUUGUGCAGGCUCAGAAGAUUUUAUGCAAAAAUUAGUUGUGCA